AGUCUGGAAAUAUUGUAACAUUUGCAUUUUGAAACAUCGUUUGCUUCUUAUUGCUGGCUAAUGACGGGAUGGAUCAACACAAGCAGACUAAGGACUCCAGUCAAGAAGAAUGUUUGAGAUGGAAGAAAGGUACAAGAGAAACAUUAUAGAAUGUGUAAGAGCACCAAAAGCAAGUCCUUCAUGAGUCUAGGCUGAACUGCCGCAUGCCACUCAGACACAAGCCAUGACGACCCAACGGUCACUGUCCAACCGACUUUCAGCUGGAUAGGAGAGACGUCGCAGGAGUUCAGACUUGGAGAUACAGAGUUUUUGGAAGAUUUCAGAGUGAAUAAAGGAGGAUUUUUAGCAGAAGAAAGAAGAAGGAGUGAGAGAGAGAGAAGAAAAGAGAGAAGAAAGAGAGGAGGAGAUUUAUCAAGAAGAAGAAAAAUGAAUAGCAAGAAAAAGAGAAGAAGAUGCAGUAGCCCAGUGGAUGAUCCAGGAGGUAAGGAGAUGAAACUAUCAGUAUAUUGCUAUAGGAACAUACUCAUAUAACCUUUUACUUUUCUGGUAAAAAAGCAGAGAUGAGCUUCUUACUGUAUAUUAUAGUAGAACCCCCCAAAGUUGGGAAUAAGUGCAUUAUACAUAAU
Long non-coding RNA from Xenopus laevis (African clawed frog), 626 nucleotides. RefSeq lists it as uncharacterized. The transcript has 3 exons. The record is from RefSeq and is a predicted model, not a curated record. NCBI's taxonomy places the organism in Eukaryota, Metazoa, Chordata, Amphibia, Anura, Pipidae.